CCCUUAGAUGUUCUGGGCUGCACGCGCGCUACACUGAAGCGUUCAACGAGUAUUCACCUUGCCCGGGAGGGUUGGGUAAUCUUUUGAAAACGCUUCGUGAUGGGGAUAGAUUAUUGCAAUUAUUAAUCUUCAACGAGGAAUUCCUAGUAAGCGCGAGUCAUCAGCUCGUGCUGAUUACGUCCCUGCCCUUUGUACACACCGCCCGUCGCUCCUACCGAUUGAGUGUGUUGGUGAGGAGUUUGGAUUGGCCUCGGAAGGUGGUUCGCCACCGUCCGUAGCUGAGAAGUUCUCCAAACCGCCCCACUUAGAGGAAGGAGAAGUCGUAACA
RNAcentral lists this ribosomal RNA (328 nucleotides) under uncultured eukaryote. RNAcentral describes it as "partial 18S ribosomal RNA". It matches the Rfam family "Eukaryotic small subunit ribosomal RNA", at positions 1470 to 1796 of the family's 1831-position model. The record is from RNAcentral.